GAAGUCUUAGCUUAAUUAAAGUGUCUGAGUUGCAAUUAGAUGCUGUGGAUUAAAAUUUCACAGGUUU
RNAcentral lists this transfer RNA (67 nucleotides) under Lygodactylus incognitus. RNAcentral's name for it is "Lygodactylus nigropunctatus incognitus tRNA-Ala". It matches the Rfam family "tRNA". From Rfam's summary of the family: Transfer RNA (tRNA) molecules are approximately 80 nucleotides in length. Their secondary structure includes four short double-helical elements and three loops (D, anti-codon, and T loops). Lineage: Eukaryota; Metazoa; Chordata; Lepidosauria; Squamata; Gekkonidae. The record is from RNAcentral.